Picea glauca (white spruce) is the source of this 128-nucleotide non-coding RNA. NCBI's taxonomy places the organism in Eukaryota, Viridiplantae, Streptophyta, Pinopsida, Pinales, Pinaceae. The record is from Rfam.
GUGUUCGUAGAAAGGAGAGAUGGUUGGCAUCUCCCUCGACAAGGACGGGAACAGUCUUCGGACUUUCUUAUCACACGCGGUUAAGGCUCUCCACCCCCUCCAGGGUGGAUCUUACCCCAAGGGUUUUU